CUUUACAAAAACAGUAUGUUUGGCCUAAAAUAGUUCAGCUGACUCUGAGGGUUUACAUUGACGACUGAGCAAGUGGCAAUAAUGGCUGUGUUAUUGAGGACAGAAGGCUGUGUUAGUGUGCCUGACUCCAUCUGUUCAAAAGGGUGAAUGUUAUGUUGGCAGCUCCGCAUUCUAGGCCUAAGGUUUGGAGGGCACAGGGAAUGCUGACAGGCCAUAAUACCUGGGCAGGGGGGCUGCCCUGAUGAUGUCAUCAGAACCAUGACCACAGGGCUACAUGUCCCCCCAAGGAUGGGAGACAGGGAAGACAAAGGGUCAGGUAAUAGGGAUAGGUGGAUAAAACAAAGAGUAGAAGUUGGGAGUAUAGUAGGGAACAGAGGAUGAGGGCUCAGGUGGAGGUGGGGACAUAAAGCAUCCAGGAAUAAAAUGUGACCUUAAAAUCCUAAGGAAUGGCUAGUAUCCAGAGUAAUACCAUGGAUUCAUCUUUAAAGUGGCUCAGAUAAAACCCUUAAACAGCAGCUGCUUCCUUUUGCUAGGGGGAAUGGAAGUUGGAAUUUCAAAUAUCCCCUCCCAAAGAAUCACAUCUUUUUAGAGGUUCCUGACACCCUUAGGAGAACCCACCAAUUCUAUGUUGAGAUGAGAAUAGCACAACCAUGGCAGUGAUGCAGGGUACCAACGCUGCCACAGUAGUUUAUUUUGUUGUUGUUUUGUUUUGUUUUUUGAGAUGGAGUCUCACUCUAUUGCCAAGCUGGAGUGCAGUGGUGCGAUCUCGGCUCACUGCAACCUCUGCCUCCCGGGUUCAAGCAAUUCUCCUGCCUCAGCCUUCCGAGUAGUUGGGACUACAGGCACGCACCGUCACGCCUGGCUAAUUUUUUGUAUUUUGGUAGAGACGGGGUUUCACCAUGUUGGCCAGGAUGGUCUCAAUCUCCUGACCUCGUGAUCCACCCGCCUCAGCCUCCCAAAGUGCUGGGAUUACAGGUGUGAGCCACCGCGCCCGGCCCACAGUACAGUUUUACAAAGAAAGGUGUAGCUCCAGGAAAGGAAAGGAAUAACCUUUACCAUUGACUGUGCUGCAGGACUCUAGCCCUGAUCUGCUCUCUUCUGGGAGCAUCUGAUAGAACAAACAGAAACCCCUCUCCCACUGUUCUCCUGUGUCCAGAGUGGGAGGCAUAACUGCUUUGCCUCCAGUCAUCAUCUGGGGGCAUAUCUACUCUUCGAGGACCAGGGGUUCGGGACCCUGGAACAGGAUCUGAAUUCCAAGCUGACCUCAGGGGUACAUGAAGACUGCUAGAUGAGACGGGAUCUCACUGUGUUGCCCAGGCUGGUCUCGAACUGCUGGACUCAAGUCAUCCUCCCAUCUUGGCCUCCCAAAGUGCUGGAAUUACAGUGGACAACCUUCAAUGCACUGGUACUUUGUACCCUGACCUCUACUGUGAUGAACACUCAACUUGGGCAAGGAAGUGAAAUUCUCCAAAGGUAUGAUUACCUACAAACCUAGCCACUGAUAUUAUUUAAGUUUGUUGAUCUCUAAUGGCUUGGGCUUUCCUGCCUCUUCUACUUACACAUUACUGCACUAGUACCAUAUGAAAAUUCUCAAGAAGGCUUUUUUCCUCUUCUUGCUGAUACACAUGCAUCACUUUAGAUUGAAAACACACUGAAUUCUAUUCAAUCACAUACUGGGGGUGAGAGGAAAAAGCAAACCAAUACUCCAUCCCAUUUCUUUCCUUCUUUCUUUGAUUAGUGCAGUGGGUUCUGACCCAAUCAGCAGCCUUUGCUUCUCAGAUUCCUCUCAAGGCUUUAUGACUCUUCUCACCCCAGGAAACCCUACAACACGCACGGCCUUUCAGAACUGCUACAUGGAAUGGACAUUCCUCUGGGCUCCAGCUGAAUGUUUGUAAAUAAAAUAAUGACUGCGUGUCCUUAUUUUUGCUGAGUACACAG
Molecule: long non-coding RNA, 1938 nt
Filed under: Homo sapiens (human)
Lineage: Eukaryota; Metazoa; Chordata; Mammalia; Primates; Hominidae
Description: PREDICTED lncRNA (TCONS_00027430)
Source: RNAcentral